UACGAAGGGGGCUAGCGUUGUUCGGAUUUACUGGGCGUAAAGGGCGCGUAGGCGGCCACCGCAAGUCACUUGUGAAAUCUCCGGGCUUAACCCGGAAAGGUCAACUGAUACUGCGGGGCUAGAGUGCAGAAGGGGCAACUGGAAUUCUCGGUGUAGCGGUGAAAUGCGUAGAUAUCGAGAGGAACACCUGCGGCGAAGGCGGGUUGCUGGGCUGACACUGACGCUGAGGCGCGAAAGCCAGGGGAGCGAACGGG
Molecule: ribosomal RNA, 254 nt
Filed under: uncultured bacterium
Lineage: Bacteria
Description: partial 16S ribosomal RNA
Rfam family: Bacterial small subunit ribosomal RNA
Source: RNAcentral